RNAcentral lists this long non-coding RNA (511 nucleotides) under Phoenix dactylifera (date palm). RNAcentral describes it as "long non-coding RNA (PDAC_LNC022867)". The record is from RNAcentral. Lineage: Eukaryota; Viridiplantae; Streptophyta; Magnoliopsida; Arecales; Arecaceae.
GAAUCAGUAAACAACAGGUCCCGAAGUGUCCUGAGCAACUCCCUCUCUCCAGCCCACAGGGUGCCUCCUGAGUGGCUUGCUAUAUCACCUUAAUACUUCUUGGCAUCGGACCAUAUAUAAGCAAGACUUUAUUCAUGGCUAACUAAUAAAUGGGCCAGCUUCAGAGAGGAAGCAAUCUUAGCUACCAUUUUUAGUGUCCGAUCCUUCCACUGGACCAAGUGACUGUAUUUUUUAUUUGGAGAACUACCCUGAACUAGAACCAUGCAUAAGCCUUUCAAAACUUUAAUAGUUUAUAUAGAUAGAUAGAUACUGAGAAAACAAAAGUCUAGUAUAUUUAUAGUCAUAUUACAAGGAAGAAGAAGGAGAAGGAAGAAAAAGAAGUCUCACAGAUGUUGUCUCCAACCCUGAAGACCCUGUCAAUGGACCAAGCAGCCACAUCAGAAGCAGCAUCCCACCCUUGAUCACCUCCAACAACAUGGUCCACCCCUUCUGCUGCCUCACAUCUUCCUAU